This 466-nucleotide ribosomal RNA is filed under the name uncultured bacterium. RNAcentral describes it as "bacterial SSU rRNA". It matches the Rfam family "Bacterial small subunit ribosomal RNA", at positions 926 to 1391 of the family's 1533-position model. The record is from RNAcentral.
CAAGCGGUGGAGCAUGUGGUUUAAUUCGAUGCAACGCGAAGAACCUUACCUACUCUUGACAUCCAGCGAACUUAGCAGAGAUGCUUUGGUGCCUUCGGGAACGCUGAGACAGGUGCUGCAUGGCUGUCGUCAGCUCGUGUUGUGAAAUGUUGGGUUAAGUCCCGCAACGAGCGCAACCCUUAUCCUUUGUUGCCAGCGCGUGAUGGCGGGAACUCAAAGGAAACGGCCGGGAACAAACCGAAGGAAGGGGGGGAUAACUUCAAGUCUUCUGGGCCCUUACAGCCAGGGCUACCCACGUGCUACAAGGGGCCAAACAAAAAAAACCAACCUCGCAAAAGCAACCGAACCUCAAAAAGGCCGUCUAAUUCCGAAUCGAAUUCGGCACCUCAACUCCUUGAAGUCGAAUUCCCUAGUAAUCGUAAAUCAAAAGGCUACGGUGAUUACUUUCCGGGGCCUUGUACACCCC